RNAcentral lists this unclassified non-coding RNA (205 nucleotides) under Hevea brasiliensis (rubber tree). The record is from RNAcentral. Lineage: Eukaryota; Viridiplantae; Streptophyta; Magnoliopsida; Malpighiales; Euphorbiaceae.
GAUCAAAUCUAAUAAGAUUAAGAUUUUAUGUAGGUAUUCCAUUUUUCUUGUCUUGUCACAUUUAACUUGCCUAUAUUACAUGAAGUAACAAACUUAAAACAGAAACUUCAGCACUUCGGGGACUGUUUAUCCUUUUAAUGUUAGUUUCAGGCUGCUCUGCCGAUAUUGUGAAUCAAUAUAUUGAAGCAUUUCCAUGUAAUUUUAA